UCGCAUCGUUAAAGAACGCAGCGAAAUGCGAUAAGUAGUUUGAAUUGCAGAAUUCAGUGAAUCAUUGAAUCUUUGAACGCACAUUGCGCCCCUUGGUAUUCCAUGGGGCAUGCCUGUUCGAGCGUCAUUUG
This 131-nucleotide ribosomal RNA is filed under the name Ascochyta rabiei. Its description in RNAcentral is "partial 5.8S ribosomal RNA". It matches the Rfam family "5.8S ribosomal RNA", at positions 28 to 154 of the family's 154-position model. From Rfam's summary of the family: 5.8S ribosomal RNA (5.8S rRNA) is a component of the large subunit of the eukaryotic ribosome. The record is from RNAcentral. Lineage: Eukaryota; Fungi; Ascomycota; Dothideomycetes; Pleosporales; Didymellaceae.